This 253-nucleotide ribosomal RNA is filed under the name uncultured bacterium. RNAcentral describes it as "partial 16S ribosomal RNA". It matches the Rfam family "Bacterial small subunit ribosomal RNA", at positions 524 to 776 of the family's 1533-position model. The record is from RNAcentral.
UACGGAGGGUGCAAGCGUUAUCCGGAUUCACUGGGUUUAAAGGGUGCGUAGGUGGCUUUGUAAGUCAGUGGUGAAAGCUCGGAGCUCAACUCCGAAACUGCCAUUGAUACUGCUUAGCUUGAAUCAGGUCGAGGUGGAUGGAAUGUGACAUGUAGCGGUGAAAUGCUUAGAUAUGUUACAGAACACCAAUUGCGAAGGCAGUUCACCAGCCCUGUAUUGACACUGAGGCACGAAAGCGUGGGGAUCAAACAGG